Non-coding RNA from Zootermopsis nevadensis, 384 nucleotides. The record is from RefSeq and is a predicted model, not a curated record. Lineage: Eukaryota; Metazoa; Arthropoda; Insecta; Blattodea; Termopsidae.
GGCGGUUAUGGAGGCAGUUUCGGUGGAGGCGGCGGAUGGAAAGGCGGUGGCGGAGGUGGCUGGUGGUAAUAACCCUACGUCUUCAAGAAAGCUUUAACACAGCACCAAGGUUUUUAUAUCGCACCAAAUUGUCAACGUAUCAGAAGCACAAGGCGAAAAAUCAAAGACUUACAUCAUCGGGAAACAGUGUCAGAAACAAGAGACAGAUGCAAUACGAAUUACUUAAGUAGGCCUGAUGUUUAUCGCCUCCCUUCCCACGCACCUAACCUCAAAAAAUAAAAUCCACUUUAUUUUGAAAAGUAUAAACGACAUUAUAUUUUAUGUAUUUGCAAAUAAUUUUAUAUUAUUGUGAUGUAAAUAAUAAAUAUUUUAAUAUAAAAUAUA